RNAcentral lists this ribosomal RNA (347 nucleotides) under uncultured Endozoicomonas sp. RNAcentral's name for it is "bacterial SSU rRNA". It matches the Rfam family "Bacterial small subunit ribosomal RNA", at positions 336 to 675 of the family's 1533-position model. The record is from RNAcentral. Lineage: Bacteria; Pseudomonadati; Pseudomonadota; Gammaproteobacteria; Oceanospirillales; Endozoicomonadaceae.
UUCCUACGGGGGGCAGCAGUGGGGAAUAUUGGACAAUGGGCGCAAGCCUGAUCCAGCCAUGCCGCGUGUGUGAAGAAGGCCUUCGGGUUGUAAAGCACUUUCAGCGAGGAGGAAAGGGGUGUUGCUAAUAUCAGCGCCCUGUGACGUUACUCGCAGAAGAAGCACCGGCUAACUCCGUGCCAGCAGCCGCGGUAAUACGGAGGGUGCAAGCGUUAAUCGGAAUUACUGGGCGUAAAGCGUGCGUAGGCGGCCUUUUAAGUUGGAUGUGAAAGCCCCGGGCUUAACCUGGGAACGGCAUCCAAAACUGAGAGGCUCGAGUGCGGAAGAGGAGUGUGGAAUUUCCUGUG